RNAcentral lists this ribosomal RNA (252 nucleotides) under Triticum aestivum (bread wheat). Its description in RNAcentral is "partial small subunit ribosomal RNA". Lineage: Eukaryota; Viridiplantae; Streptophyta; Magnoliopsida; Poales; Poaceae. The record is from RNAcentral.
AGCUCCAAGAAUACGCGGAGGAGGUGGCCCGGGUCGGCGUCGGCGCCGUCCGGCACGGGCCACGGGCCCGCUUCCAAGUGCGUUUGUGUGCCGGUCACCCACGCCGGGUCCUUCAAGUGUCGUUUCCACCGCACCAACUCCCAGGGCCAGGGAAGCCGCCCUUCUUCGCCCCCUUCACCCGCCGCGGCCAACGCGGUGCCGUGGCACCCGACUUCGCCGUCCUCGUCCUCCGGCACCGUCGCGAUCCAAUGA